AGCUUAGAACAAUGCCUUGCUAAUAAGCACUCAGUAUCGGCUAGCUGCUGUUGCUCAGUCUCAGCUUCCAGCAAGAAGCUCCCACCAGAGGAAGACAAGGAAAGUAGGUCUGGGUCGGUCCAAGGUGGUGAUGACCACUUGAGCGAAAGAGGCAGGGAAGCUGAGGGGUGGCUGAAUGGAACAGAGCUGAAAAGAGGAGCCAGUCCAAUGACUUGAUACUUUUUCUCAGAAGUGAAUUGGAGUCACUUUCAGUCUUAAUUGGAAUUGCUGUUCUUUCAUUCUGAGUACCAGGGCGACGCCAGGGAGCUGGUGACAUUGCUGCUUCGUCUGUUCCAGAGUGUCUGCUGGGCUAGCUGUAACUGCAACCUGGCAGUUCCACCUCUAAAUUCUCC
Molecule: long non-coding RNA, 392 nt
Organism: Ochotona princeps (American pika)
Lineage: Eukaryota; Metazoa; Chordata; Mammalia; Lagomorpha; Ochotonidae
Exons: 4
Source: RefSeq, a predicted model, not a curated record